Arvicanthis niloticus (Nile rat) is the source of this 582-nucleotide non-coding RNA. NCBI's taxonomy places the organism in Eukaryota, Metazoa, Chordata, Mammalia, Rodentia, Muridae. The record is from RefSeq and is a predicted model, not a curated record.
AUGAAGACCAUUCUCAGCAAUGAGACUGUCAACAUUCCAGAAAAUGUCGACAUCACUCUGAAGGGGCGCACAGUCAUUGUGAAGGGCCCCAGGGGAACUCUGCAGAGGGACUUCAGUCACAUCAAUGUAGAGCUGAGCCUUCUUGGAAAGAAAAAAAAAAAGGCUCUGGGUUGACAAAUGGUGGGGUAACAGAAAGGAACUGGCCACUGUCAGAACCAUCUGCAGUCAUGUUCAGAACAUGAUCGAGGGUGUCACACUGGGCUUCCGUUACAAGAUGAGGUCUGUGUGUGCUCACUUCCCCAUCAGUGUCGUCAGUCAGGAGAAUGGGUUUUUGGUUGUAAUAGGAAAUUUCUUGGGUGAAAAAUACAUCCGCAGGGUUUGGAUGAGGACAGGUGUUGCUUGUUCUGUCUCUUAAGCCCAGAAGGAUGAAUUAAUCCUUGCAGGAAAUGAUAUUGAACUUGUUUCAAAUUUAGCGACUCUGAUUCAGCAAGCUACAACAGUUAAAAAAACAAAGAUAUCAGAAGGUUUUUGGAUGGCAUCUGUGUGCCUGAGAAGGGAACUGUGCAGCAGGCUGACGAGUGA